GACGAACGCUGGCGGCGUGCUUAACACAUGCAAGUCGAACGGAAAGGCCCUGCUUGCAGGGUACUCGAGUGGCGAACGGGUGAGUAACACGCGGGUGAUCUGCCCUGCACUUCGGGAUAAGCCUGGGAAACUGGGUCUAAUACCGGAUAGGAGCCAUUUUUAGUGUGAUGGUUGGAAAGUUUUGUCGGUGUAGGAUGAGCUCGCGGCCUAUCGGCUUGUUGGUGGGGUAAUGGCCUACCAAGGCGGCGACGGGUAGCCGGCCUGAGAGGGUGGACGGCCACAUUGGGACUGAGAUACGGCCCAGACUCCUACGGGAGGCAGCAGUGGGGAAGAUUGCACAAUGGGCGCAAGCCUGAUGCAGCGACGCCGCGUGGGGGAUGACGGCCUUCGGGUUGAAAACUCCUUUCGCUAGGGACGAAGCUUUUUGUGACGGUACCUAGAUAAGAAGCACCGGCUAACUACGUG
RNAcentral lists this ribosomal RNA (465 nucleotides) under uncultured bacterium. Its description in RNAcentral is "partial 16S ribosomal RNA". It matches the Rfam family "Bacterial small subunit ribosomal RNA", at positions 28 to 507 of the family's 1533-position model. The record is from RNAcentral.